RNAcentral lists this long non-coding RNA (330 nucleotides) under Musa acuminata (dwarf banana). RNAcentral's name for it is "long non-coding RNA (MACU_LNC008189)". The record is from RNAcentral. Lineage: Eukaryota; Viridiplantae; Streptophyta; Magnoliopsida; Zingiberales; Musaceae.
UAGGUACCUGAACAGACUCGGGCUGUAGAGUGGUGCUUGAGCUUGGUUCUCCAACCUCGCUCAACUCUAUCAUUCUCCCACUAUCUCCACCAAGAAUGUGUUCCUUCUUAAGGAACACUACUCUCUUAGCUACAAAGACCUUUUGGUCCUCGAGAUAAUAGAAAUAAUACCCACAAGUUUCCUUGGGGUAUCCCACAAAUUUGCAUCGCUCUGUCCUUUAUUCUGACUUAUCGAGGUUGUAUCUUUUAACGUGGGCAGGGCAGCCCCAAAUCUUAACAACCUUAAUAUCAUGCUUCUUCCCUUUCCAUAUCUCAUAUGGUGAAGACACUA